GCAUGGCUGAAUACUGCGUUACUUUAGUCUGUAAUUUACACAGCCAGACACCACGCAGAAGUAACGCCUGCCUUAAAAACGAGAGGCAUGCUGUUUUAUGGUAUAUUGUUACUAAAAGUGAGUGCAAUC
Small nucleolar RNA from Mesocricetus auratus (golden hamster), 129 nucleotides. The record is from Ensembl. Lineage: Eukaryota; Metazoa; Chordata; Mammalia; Rodentia; Cricetidae.